This 529-nucleotide ribosomal RNA is filed under the name uncultured Candidatus Planktophila sp. RNAcentral describes it as "bacterial SSU rRNA". It matches the Rfam family "Bacterial small subunit ribosomal RNA", at positions 354 to 894 of the family's 1533-position model. The record is from RNAcentral. Lineage: Bacteria; Bacillati; Actinomycetota; Actinomycetes; Candidatus Nanopelagicales; Candidatus Nanopelagicaceae.
GUGGGGAGUAUUGGGCAAUGGAGGAAACUCUGACCCAGCGACGCCGCGUGCGGGAUGAAGGCCUUCGGGUUGUAAACCGCUUUCAGCAGGGAAGAAGCGAAAGUGACGGUACCUGCAGAAGAAGCACCGGCUAACUAUGUGCCAGCAGCCGCGGUAAUACAUAGGGUGCAAGCGUUGUCCGGAAUUAUUGGGCGUAAAGAGCUCGUAGGUGGUUCGUCACGUCGGAUGUGAAAAUCUGGGGCUUAACCCCAGACCUGCAUUCGAUACGGGCGAGCUUGAGUAUGGUAGGGGAGUCUGGAAUUCCUGGUGUAGCGGUGGAAUGCGCAGAUAUCAGGAGGAACACCAAUGGCGAAGGCAGGACUCUGGGCCAUUACUGACACUGAGGAGCGAAAGCGUGGGGAGCGAACAGGAUUAGAUACCCUGGUAGUCCACGCCGUAAACGGUGGGCACUAGUUGUGGGGACCUUCCACGGUCUCUGCGACGCAGCUAACGCAUUAAGUGCCCCGCCUGGGGAGUACGAUCGCAAGAU